RNAcentral lists this ribosomal RNA (251 nucleotides) under uncultured bacterium. RNAcentral's name for it is "partial 16S ribosomal RNA". It matches the Rfam family "Bacterial small subunit ribosomal RNA", at positions 85 to 339 of the family's 1533-position model. The record is from RNAcentral.
GAUGAGUAGAGCGGCGAACGGGUGAGUAACGCGUGGGAAUCUACCUGGUAGUGGGGGACAACAGUCGGAAACGACUGCUAAUACCGCAUACGUCCUAUGGGAGAAAGUGGGGGAUCUUCGGACCUUGCGCUAUUGGAUGAGCCCAAGUCAGAUUAGCUAGUUGGUGAGGUAAUGGCUCACCAAGGCGACGAUCUGUAGCUGGUCUGAGAGGAUGAUCAGCCACACUGGGACUGAGACACGGCCCAGACUCC